This 72-nucleotide transfer RNA is filed under the name Aedes aegypti (yellow fever mosquito). It matches the Rfam family "tRNA". From Rfam's summary of the family: Transfer RNA (tRNA) molecules are approximately 80 nucleotides in length. Their secondary structure includes four short double-helical elements and three loops (D, anti-codon, and T loops). The record is from Rfam by way of RNAcentral. Lineage: Eukaryota; Metazoa; Arthropoda; Insecta; Diptera; Culicidae.
GGCUUGGAAACUUAGUUGUUAAAGCGCUCGUCUAGCAGACAAGGGUCCUGGGUUCAAAUCUCAGCCGAGCUA